UGCGGAGGGAUCAUUACAGAACGCCCGGGCUUCGGCCUGGUUAUUCAUAACCCUUUGUUGUCCGACUCUGUUGCCUCCGGGGCGACCCUGCCUUCGGGCGGGGGCUCCGGGUGGACACUUCAAACUCUUGCGUAACUUUGCAGUCUGAGUAAACUUAAUUAAUAAAUUAAAACUUUUAACAACGGAUCUCUUGGUUCUGGCAUCGAUGAAGAACGCAGCGAAAUGCGAUAAGUAAUGUGAAUUGCAGAAUUCAGUGAAUCAUCGAAUCUUUGAACGCACAUUGCGCCCCCUGGUAUUCCGGGGGGCAUGCCUGUUCGAGCGUCAUUUCACCACUCAAGCCUCGCUUGGUAUUGGGCAACGCGGUCCGCCGCGUGCCUCAAAUCGUCCGGCUGGGUCUUCUGUCCCCUAAGCGUUGUGGAAACUAUUCGCUAAAGGGUGUUCGGGAGGCUACGCCGUAAAACAACCCCAUUUCUAAGGUUGACCUCGGAUCAGGUAGGGAUACCCGCUGAACUUAAGCAUAUCAAUAAGCGGAGGAA
Molecule: ribosomal RNA, 536 nt
Filed under: Cladosporium iridis
Lineage: Eukaryota; Fungi; Ascomycota; Dothideomycetes; Cladosporiales; Cladosporiaceae
Description: eukaryotic LSU rRNA
Rfam family: 5.8S ribosomal RNA (bases 171-324)
Source: RNAcentral